RNAcentral lists this long non-coding RNA (432 nucleotides) under Felis catus (domestic cat). RNAcentral's name for it is "lncRNA (ENSFCAG00000045003.2)". The record is from RNAcentral. Lineage: Eukaryota; Metazoa; Chordata; Mammalia; Carnivora; Felidae.
AUGGGGAGGCACAGAGAACUUCACUGUGGAAGAUGCAAACAUAGAGUUUUAGGUAAGGCUAAAAAAACAGACAGAAGUAAAGUUGAAGAUCAAAAUAGAACAAAUUUAUGGGUCUUCUGUUUGAUCUGCAGCAAGAAGAAAACACUGCUCCUCGACUACAUGAUGCACUUGGCUUCUAAACCCCAAGCUAACCAGACUAUCCUAUAUCCUCUAUUUGCUCCAUUCACCUGUAUAUCCCUUCUUGUGGGGCCAUGGAAAACCGUGGAGCAAGGGCAAGGAGUCACGAGUGGAUUUGAAUGUCAGUGCCACCUUUUUCCUAGAAAACUUCAGACUCUACUGGACGGUGAUGUUACAGUCUCAGAGUCCUGUUACCUUCAUUUAGUGGUUACAACUGGAAGGAAUAUUUACGAUAGUGGAGGACAAAGAAUGUGA